This 253-nucleotide ribosomal RNA is filed under the name uncultured bacterium. Its description in RNAcentral is "partial 16S ribosomal RNA". It matches the Rfam family "Bacterial small subunit ribosomal RNA", at positions 524 to 776 of the family's 1533-position model. The record is from RNAcentral.
UACGUAGGGUGCGAGCGUUAAUCGGAAUUACCGGGCGUAAAGCGUGCGCAGGCGGUUUUGUAAGCCAGAUGUGAAAUCCCCGGGCUUAACCUGGGAAUGGCAUUUGGGACUGCAAGGCUUGAGUGCGGCAGAGGAGACUGGAAUUCCUGGUGUAGCAGUGAAAUGCGUAGAUACCAGGAGGAACACCGAUGGCGAAGGCAGGUCUCUGGGCUGACACUGACGCUCAUGCACGAAAGCGUGGGGAGCAAACAGG